RNAcentral lists this ribosomal RNA (536 nucleotides) under Alternaria sp. KL-2008a. RNAcentral's name for it is "eukaryotic LSU rRNA". The stretch from base 178 to 331 matches the Rfam family "5.8S ribosomal RNA". Lineage: Eukaryota; Fungi; Ascomycota; Dothideomycetes; Pleosporales; Pleosporaceae. The record is from RNAcentral.
AAGGAUCAUUACCUGGAAAGGGGACCUGUCUGGUCGUCAGACCCGCGCAGGUCCCUUUCUUACACCCUUGUCUAUGAGCACCCUUUUGUUGUUUCCUCGGCGGGUUCGCCCGCCGGCAGGAACCCUUUAACCAUUUUGCAUCAGCAUCAUACUUCUGAUCUAAACAAAAAUCAUAACAACUUUCAACAAUGGAUCUCUUGGUUCUGGCAUCGAUGAAGAACGCAGCGAAAUGCGAUAAGUAGUGUGAAUUGCAGAAUUCAGUGAAUCAUCGAAUCUUUGAACGCACAUUGCGCCCCUUGGUAUUCCAUGGGGCAUGCCUGUUCGAGCGUCAUUUACACCCUCAAGCUCUGCUUGGUGUUGGGCGUCUGUCCCGCCGCUCGUCGGCGUGAGGACUCGCCUUAAAGGUAUUGGCGGCGGCCUUUGCCAGCUUCUCGCGCAGCGAAGAUUGCGUCGAUCGAAGCGCGGCACCGGGCUCGCGUCCAUCAAGUUCACCACGACUUGACCUCGGAUCAGGUAGGGAUACCCGCUGAACUUAA